RNAcentral lists this transfer RNA (73 nucleotides) under Paramuricea clavata. It matches the Rfam family "tRNA". Rfam says of the family: Transfer RNA (tRNA) molecules are approximately 80 nucleotides in length. Their secondary structure includes four short double-helical elements and three loops (D, anti-codon, and T loops). Further hydrogen bonds mediate the characteristic L-shaped molecular structure. tRNAs have two regions of fundamental functional importance: the anti-codon, which is responsible for specific mRNA codon recognition, and the 3' end, to which the tRNAs corresponding amino acid is attached (by aminoacyl-tRNA synthetases). tRNAs cope with the degeneracy of the genetic code in two manners: having more than one tRNA (with a specific anti-codon) for a particular amino acid; and 'wobble' base-pairing, i.e. permitting non-standard base-pairing at the 3rd anti-codon position. The record is from Rfam by way of RNAcentral. Lineage: Eukaryota; Metazoa; Cnidaria; Anthozoa; Malacalcyonacea; Plexauridae.
GACCGUGUAGCUCAGUUGGCAGAGUAUUGGGCUAGUAUUCCAAAGGUCGUAGGUUUGAUUCCCACCGUGGCCA